Molecule: small nuclear RNA, 296 nt
Filed under: Saimiri boliviensis boliviensis (Bolivian squirrel monkey)
Lineage: Eukaryota; Metazoa; Chordata; Mammalia; Primates; Cebidae
Description: 7SK RNA (ENSSBOG00000001986.1)
Rfam family: 7SK RNA
About the family: 7SK was discovered as an abundant small nuclear RNA in the mid-70s but a possible function has only recently been suggested. Two independent studies have found that 7SK RNA binds the CDK9/cyclin T complex (known as elongation factor P-TEFb).
Source: Rfam by way of RNAcentral
GGAUGUGAGGAACAUCAGGCUGUGCGUCUGUCACCCCAUUGAUCACCAGGGUUGAUUUGGUUGAUCUGGCUGACUAGGCAGGUGCCCCCUUCCUCCCUCACCAUUCCAUGAGCUUCCCUCCCAAAGCUGCAUGCUUGGCUUGGUUGAAGAGGAUGACCAUCCCCGAUAGAGGAGGACAGGUCUUCAUUCAAGGGUAUAUGAGUAGCUGCGUUCCCCACUAGAACCUCCAAACAUGAUUAAGAGAAGCUAAAUUCUGAAAGACCUGAUAGAGAAGUUGUAACCUAUAACUUCGUAUC